AAUUAUUUUGGGAUUUGAUAUUUUUUUUAUUAGUAUGUGGAUGAUUUUAUUUUUUUUUGUUUAAGUUUUAUUUUUUUUAGUAUGUAAUGAUUUUAUUUUGUUUUUAGUUAGGAAUUUUAGUUUGUUAGAAAUAAGAAGUGGGGAGGUUUGUAGUGUUGAUUUAAAAAAUGGUUAUAAUUUAAAAGUUGAGAGUUUUGUUUUAUUCGGUG
Molecule: unclassified non-coding RNA, 209 nt
Filed under: Hevea brasiliensis (rubber tree)
Lineage: Eukaryota; Viridiplantae; Streptophyta; Magnoliopsida; Malpighiales; Euphorbiaceae
Source: RNAcentral